UAGCAUGGCAUAGUAAGAAAGAAUGCCGUUUCAGGAACCUAAAGGUAUAGGUUAUAUCUAAGCUAUGUCAUUAACGGAGUGUUAUUAAGUCAAUAAUUCAAACAUCUUGAUCAUCAUUUGUUUUGUUUUAAAAUUAGGAGUCUGUAUCAGAUCAUAUAACCGGAAUUUACUUUCCGGUUUUUAAAAAACCGUGGUCUUCUGUCACUCUUGCAAUUCAGAAACCAUGUCUCUGAAGCAGAUCGUAUGUGUGGCCCAGCCUAUGGUAGGAAAGGCAGCCCUGCCCUCAGGAUGAAAGGGGCUUGCAGAACCUCUGCCUGCACACCUUCCUCACAGGGAUUCUGAUGCUUUUGCAGAACUGAAAGAAUUAGGAUAGAGAUACUCUGAUUUCCACAGAAAUUCUAAGGAAAUCACUGUAAAUUGUCUAAAACCACUUUAACUACCAUGAUCUAACAACCACAUUUUCAAAUGCACAUUUUUUAGGGGGACUGCUCUGGCUGCUUUCUGCUAUGGCUGACAGAAUUUGGAAACUCACGUUGGUGCUUUUAAAGUGAACACGGGAAUGACUAGCUCAUUACUGGUGAAUUCUGUUGCAUCAGUUCUUCAGGAGUUGCUACUGAGAUAGGGAACUAGAAAUGAGAUGGAGGCGAGAAUUCAACAUCCCAUUCUUCAGGGUGGCCACAUGCUUUUGUUUCUUUUCAGCUUCUAAAACUCAAGUUCUGAUAAACUUUUAUCAGUCUCACUACCCAAGAAAGUCAUCACAUAUUAGAAAAAUACAUCUCUCUGAAUGGCCAGAUUUCUAAUAUACUGGAAAACUAUUGAAGACUUACUACAGCCUGCAUGCAUGAAAACAAAAUUAUAAUAGAGGAAAGAAGAUUGCCUUAUUUGGUGUUUUAGGCACACCCAUAGAUAUUGGAAUAAAGUUAUUCUUUGUUUGUUUGUUUUGAGACAGAGUUUCAUUCUUGUUGCCUAGGCUAGAGUGUAGUGGCGUGAUCUCUCAGCUCACUGCAACCUCUGCCUCCUGGGUUCAAGUGAUUCUCCUGCCUCAGCCUCCCAAGUCACUAGGAUUACAGGCAUGUGCCACCAUGCCCAGCUAAUUUUGUAUUUUUAGUAGAGAUGGAGUUUCACCAUGUUGGUCAGGCUGGUCUUGAAUUAACCACAGGUGAUUCACCUGCCACGACAUCCUGAAGUGCUAGGAUUACAGAAGUGAGCCACCACGUCCUUUAUUUUUAAAAAUAUUUAUUUCUGUACUUUAAAGUGGCUCAUAAUUCCCUUCUAAAUUCACGGAUAACUUUGACACCGAUUAUCACAUCUAAUUCUGCAGUGAUGAAGCACAGAGCUGGGAGUAAGCAUUUAUACACACUAC
RNAcentral lists this long non-coding RNA (1363 nucleotides) under Callithrix jacchus (white-tufted-ear marmoset). RNAcentral describes it as "lncRNA (ENSCJAG00000076433.1)". Lineage: Eukaryota; Metazoa; Chordata; Mammalia; Primates; Cebidae. The record is from RNAcentral.